RNAcentral lists this ribosomal RNA (1611 nucleotides) under Triticum aestivum (bread wheat). Its description in RNAcentral is "partial small subunit ribosomal RNA". The record is from RNAcentral. Lineage: Eukaryota; Viridiplantae; Streptophyta; Magnoliopsida; Poales; Poaceae.
AUGGCGGCCGCCGCUGCCGCCUGCCGCCUUCUCCGGCUGGCACCGCGCCGUCUCCGGAGCCCGAGGCAUUCCCUCUUUCCUACGCCACUCGCUCUCUCCUCGGGUUGGCGCCGCUACUGCGCCGCCGCGCCCCCGGUCGCGGCCGCGGCGACGCCGACGGGGGACGCCGUGGGGGAGUUCCGCCGGAGGAUCAGGGUGGCGGAAGUGAAGGGCGGAGAGGACCAAGGCGCCGCUUGGGUCGGGAAGGAGCUUACCGUGCGCGGGUGGGUGCGCACCUGCCGCGCCCAGAGGACCGUGACAUUCGUCGAGGUUAAUGAUGGAUCUUGCUUGUCCAAUAUGCAAUGUGUGUUAACUCCUGAAACAGAAGGCUAUGACCAGAUAGACUCUAUCAAUACAGGGGCCUCAGUGUUAGUGGAGGGAGUUGUAGCAAGCAGCCAAGGUGGUAAGCAGAAAGUGGAGCUAAAGGUUUCAAAGAUCAUUGUGAUUGGGGAGAGUGAUCCCACAUCUUUUCCUAUACAGAAGAAACGAGCAUCAAGAGAAUUUCUGAGGACUGUGGCACAUCUCCGUCCUCGGACAAACACUUUUGGUGCAGUGGCAAGAGUAAGAAAUGCUCUGGCAUAUGCAACUCAUAAAUUUUUUCAAGACAGUGGAUUUAUUUGGGUAUCAAGCCCUAUUAUUACUGCCUCAGAUUGUGAAGGAGCGGGGGAGCAGUUCUAUGUCACUACUUUGCUUUCAAAUAGUGCUGAAGGAGGCUGCCUAGUCAACAGCAUUCCUUCGAAGGAUGGAAGGGUCGAUUGGUCACAGGAUUUCUUCUGCAAACCAGCAUUUCUGACGGUGUCUGGACAACUGAAUGGCGAAACAUAUGCUUCAGCUCUAUCUGAUAUUUACACAUUUGGUCCCACAUUUAGGGCUGAAAAUUCAAACACUUCAAGGCAUUUGGCUGAAUUUUGGAUGAUUGAGCCUGAACUUGCCUUUGCUGAUCUAAAUGAUGACAUGGCGUGUGCAAGUGCAUAUCUCCAGUAUGUAGUAAAGUAUAUUCUUGAGAACUGCAAAGAAGAUAUGGAUUUUUUUGAUACGUGGGUUGAGAAAGGGAUCAUAGAUAGACUAAAUAAUGUAGCUGAGAAAAACUCUGUUCAGAUGUCAUAUUCUGAUGCUAUCAAGCUACUUAUUGGGUCCAACAAGAAAUUCGAGUUCCCGGUGAAGUGGGGUUUGGAUCUGCAAAGUGAGCAUGAAAGAUAUAUCACAGAAGUCGCAUUUGGCGGCAGUCCUGUAAUAAUUAGAGAUUAUCCGAAGGAAAUCAAAGCUUUCUAUAUGCGACAAAAUGAUGACGGGAAAACAGUUGCGGCAAUGGAUCUAUUGGUUCCUCGGGUAGGUGAACUCAUUGGAGGAAGCCAAAGAGAAGAACGACUUGAUUACCUUGAAGCUCGGCUGGAUGAAUCAAAUCUUAACAAAGAUAGCUAUUGGUGGUAUUUGGAUUUGCGGCGAUAUGGAUCAGUUCCUCAUGCUGGUUUUGGCCUUGGAUUUGAACGGCUUGUACAGUUUGCAACCGGAAUAGACAACAUCAGAGACGCCAUUCCAUUUCCCAGGGUUCCUGGUUCUGCGGAGUUUUAG